This 377-nucleotide ribosomal RNA is filed under the name uncultured organism. RNAcentral describes it as "partial 16S ribosomal RNA". It matches the Rfam family "Bacterial small subunit ribosomal RNA", at positions 525 to 896 of the family's 1533-position model. The record is from RNAcentral.
GGAGGGGGGGCGAGCGUUGUUCGGAAUCAUUGGGCGUAAAGGGUGUGUAGGCGGGUCAUGUAAGUCCAGGGGUGAAAGCCCCCGGGCUCAACCGGGGAAGUGCCCUCGAUACUGCAUGGCUUGAGUGCGAGAGAGGAGAGUGGAAUUCCCAGUGUAGCGGUGAAAUGCGUAGAUAUUGGGAAGAACACCAGUGGCGAAGGCGGCUCUCUGGACCGCAACUGACGCUGAAACACGAAAGCCAGGGGAGCAAACGGGAUUAGAUACCCCGGUAGUCCUGGCCGUAAACGAUGGGCACUAGGUGUGGGAGGUAUCGACCCCUUCUGUGCCGUAGCUAACGCAUUAAGUGCCCCGCCUGGGGAGUACGGUCGCAAAGGCUG